Molecule: ribosomal RNA, 253 nt
Filed under: uncultured bacterium
Lineage: Bacteria
Description: partial 16S ribosomal RNA
Rfam family: Bacterial small subunit ribosomal RNA
Source: RNAcentral
UACAGAGGUCCCGAGCGUUGUUCGGAUUCAUUGGGCGUAAAGGGUGCGUAGGCGGCGGGGCAAGUCUGAUGUGAAAUCCGGGGGCUCAACCCCAGAACUGCAUUGGAUACUGCCUUGCUAGAGUACUGGAGAGGGAACUGGAAUUUACGGUGUAGCAGUGAAAUGCGUAGAGAUCGUAAGGAAGGCCAGUGGCGAAGGCGAGUUCCUGGACAGUUACUGACGCUGAGGCACGAAGGCCAGGGGAGCAAACGGG